RNAcentral lists this ribosomal RNA (440 nucleotides) under uncultured bacterium. RNAcentral describes it as "partial 16S ribosomal RNA". It matches the Rfam family "Bacterial small subunit ribosomal RNA", at positions 339 to 795 of the family's 1533-position model. The record is from RNAcentral.
CUACGGGACGCAGCAGUGAGGAAUAUUGCACAAUGGGGGGAACCCUGAUGCAGCAACGCCGCGUGGAGGAUGACGCAUUUCGGUGUGUAAACUCCUUUUAUAUGUCAAGAAAAUGACGGUAGCAUAUGAAUAAGCACCGGCUAACUCCGUGCCAGCAGGCCGCGGUAAUACGGAGGGUGCAAGCGUUACUCGGAAUCACUGGGCGUAAAGGACGCGUAGGCGGGCUUGUAAGUCAGGUGUGAAAUCCUACAGCUUAACUGUAGAACUGCACUUGAAACUACGAGCCUAGAGUAUGGGAGGGGGAGAUGGAAUUAGUGGUGUAGGGGUAAAAUCCGUAGAUAUCACUAGGAAUACCUAAAGCGAAGGCGAUCUCCUGGAACAUAACUGACGCUAAGGCGUGAAAGCGUGGGGAGCAAACAGGAUUAGAUACCCGAGUAGUC